CGUUGAAACACCGGUUCCCGUAAAAUCACCAAAGUUAAGCAACGUCGAUCCUGAUCAGUAACUAGAUGGGUGACCGCUUAGGAAUAGCAGAUUG
RNAcentral lists this ribosomal RNA (94 nucleotides) under Acanthosepion pharaonis. Lineage: Eukaryota; Metazoa; Mollusca; Cephalopoda; Sepiida; Sepiidae. The record is from RNAcentral.